GAUGAACGCUGGCGGCGUGCUUAACACAUGCAAGUCGAACGGAAAGGCCCAAGCUUGCUUGGGUACUCGAGUGGCGAACGGGUGAGUAACACGUGGGUGAUCUGCCCUGCACUUCGGGAUAAGCCUGGGAAACUGGGUCUAAUCCCGGAUAGGACCACAUUUUGGAUGGUGUGGUGGAAAGUUUUUCGGUGUGGGAUGAGCUCGCGGCCUAUCAGCUUGUUGGUGGGGUAAUGGCCUACCAAGGCGUCGACGGGUAGCCGGCCUGAGAGGGUGUACGGCCACAUUGGGACUGAGAUACGGCCCAGACUCCUACGGGAGGCAGCAGUGGGGAAUAUUGCACAAUGGGCGCAAGCCUGAUGCAGCGACGCCGCGUGGGGGAUGACGGCCUUCGGGUUGUAAACUCCUUUCGCUAGGGACGAAGCGUUAUGUGACGGUACCUGGAGAAGAAGCACCGGCUAACUACGUG
Molecule: ribosomal RNA, 466 nt
Filed under: uncultured bacterium
Lineage: Bacteria
Description: partial 16S ribosomal RNA
Rfam family: Bacterial small subunit ribosomal RNA
Source: RNAcentral